AGUGAACGCUGGCGGUAGGCCUAACACAUGCCAGUCGAACGGCAGCACAGUAAGAGCUUGCUCUUACGGGUGGCGAGUGGCGGACGGGUGAGGAAUACAUCGGAAUCUACUUUUUCGUGGGGGAUAACGUAGGGAAACUUACGCUAAUACCGCAUACGACCUACGGGUGAAAGCAGGGGAUCUUCGGACCUUGCGCGAUUGAAUGAGCCGAUGUCGGAUUAGCUAGUUGGCGGGGUAAAGGCCCACCAAGGCGACGAUCCGUAGCUGGUCUGAGAGGAUGAUCGGCCACACUGGAACUGAGACACGGUCCAGACUCCUACGGGAGGCAGCAGUGGGGAAUAUUGGACAAUGGGCGCAAGCCUGAUCCAGCCAUACCGCGUGGGUGAAGAAGGCCUUCGGGUUGUAAAGCCCUUUUGUUGGGAAAGAAAAGCAGCAGGUUAAUACCCCGCUGUUCUGACGGUACCCAAAGAGUAAGCACCGGCUAACUUCGUG
This 492-nucleotide ribosomal RNA is filed under the name uncultured bacterium. Its description in RNAcentral is "partial 16S ribosomal RNA". It matches the Rfam family "Bacterial small subunit ribosomal RNA", at positions 29 to 507 of the family's 1533-position model. The record is from RNAcentral.